GCAUCGGUGGUGUAUGGAGCACAAAUCGGUUUUGUAGCAGGAAACACUGGUGCUACAGCGGUGAGCCGGGGUUCGAUUCCCCGCCGGUGCA
This is a non-coding RNA of Mycena vulgaris, 91 nucleotides long. Lineage: Eukaryota; Fungi; Basidiomycota; Agaricomycetes; Agaricales; Mycenaceae. The record is from the annotation of a GenBank genome assembly.